GGUGCCGUAGCCAAGUGGUUAGGCAACGGUUUGCAAAACCGUCACACACCGGUUCGAAUCCGGUCGGCACCUCCA
RNAcentral lists this transfer RNA (75 nucleotides) under Myxococcales bacterium. Its description in RNAcentral is "tRNA-Cys". It matches the Rfam family "tRNA". From Rfam's summary of the family: Transfer RNA (tRNA) molecules are approximately 80 nucleotides in length. Their secondary structure includes four short double-helical elements and three loops (D, anti-codon, and T loops). Further hydrogen bonds mediate the characteristic L-shaped molecular structure. tRNAs have two regions of fundamental functional importance: the anti-codon, which is responsible for specific mRNA codon recognition, and the 3' end, to which the tRNAs corresponding amino acid is attached (by aminoacyl-tRNA synthetases). tRNAs cope with the degeneracy of the genetic code in two manners: having more than one tRNA (with a specific anti-codon) for a particular amino acid; and 'wobble' base-pairing, i.e. permitting non-standard base-pairing at the 3rd anti-codon position. Lineage: Bacteria; Pseudomonadati; Myxococcota; Myxococcia; Myxococcales. RNAcentral also lists the same sequence under 2 other names. The record is from RNAcentral.